This 422-nucleotide ribosomal RNA is filed under the name uncultured prokaryote. RNAcentral describes it as "bacterial SSU rRNA". It matches the Rfam family "Bacterial small subunit ribosomal RNA", at positions 338 to 774 of the family's 1533-position model. The record is from RNAcentral.
CCUAUGGGUGGCUGCAGUGGGGAAUAUUGGGCAAUGGGCGCAAGCCUGACCCAGCAACGCCGCGUGAAGGACGAAGGCCUUCGGGUUGUAAACUUCUUUGAUCAGGGACGAAAAAAAUGACGGUACCUGAAGAACAAGCCACGGCUAACUACGUGCCAGCAGUCGCGGUAAUACGUAGGUGGAGAGCGUUAUCCGGAUUUACUGGGUGUAAAGGGCGUGUAGGCGGGUCUACAAGUCGGAUGUGAAAUUCCCGGGCUUAACUCGGGCGGGUCAUCCGAAACUGCGGAUCUUGAGUACUGGAGAGGAUAGUGGAAUUCCUAGUGUAGCGGUAAAAUGCGUAGAUAUUAGGAGGAACACCAGUGGCGAAGGCGGCUAUCUGGACAGUAACUGACGCUGAGGCGCGAAAGCGUGGGGAGCAAACA